RNAcentral lists this ribosomal RNA (253 nucleotides) under uncultured bacterium. RNAcentral's name for it is "partial 16S ribosomal RNA". It matches the Rfam family "Bacterial small subunit ribosomal RNA", at positions 524 to 776 of the family's 1533-position model. The record is from RNAcentral.
UACGAAGGGGGCUAGCGUUGCUCGGAUUGACUGGGCGUAAAGGGCGCGUAGGCGGUUCGUACAGUCAGACGUGAAAUUCCUGGGCUCAACCUGGGGGCUGCGUUUGAUACGUGCGGACUUGAGUGCGGAAGAGGGUCGUGGAAUUCCCAGUGUAGAGGUGAAAUUCGUAGAUAUUGGGAAGAACACCGGUGGCGAAGGCGACCACCUGGACGGAGACUGACGCUGAGGCGCGAAAGCGUGGGGAGCAAACAGG